RNAcentral lists this small RNA (142 nucleotides) under Flavobacterium araucananum. RNAcentral's name for it is "Flavo-1 RNA". It matches the Rfam family "Flavo-1 RNA". The record is from RNAcentral. Lineage: Bacteria; Pseudomonadati; Bacteroidota; Flavobacteriia; Flavobacteriales; Flavobacteriaceae.
UCCCAGCCCCGAUUGAAGUGAAAAGCCUUUUUGAAAAAAGACCUAAUUUUUCUUGGGUUUAUAAAGCGACCAACGGAAGCUUUUUAAAAACAUAGAAAAAUGGGAUUUUGAAAAAAGCUUGUAACGAAAAGCGGGAUCAGCU